Molecule: long non-coding RNA, 514 nt
Filed under: Hordeum vulgare
Lineage: Eukaryota; Viridiplantae; Streptophyta; Magnoliopsida; Poales; Poaceae
Description: long non-coding RNA (HVUL_LNC015467)
Source: RNAcentral
ACAGACGAGGCCACACUUGUCAUCGUCGACAACGCCUUGCACAUUCCAACAAAAGAAAGAAAUACAUUGGACAUGAUUAACCAUGGAAACAAACAUACACCUUGGACGCGACACCGACACAAGCAUGCACCCAUGAGUGAAAAAAGAUACAUUGCCAGCCAUGUUGGCGAGAAAGACGAAGGAGACGCGAGAACGAGGGGGAGCAGCCAACCCCCAGCCAGACCACACGGGUCACUAAUUAUGGGACAGAGCCAGCACCAAAUACGCCCUUAAAUCCGCUGCUACGCGCAACCCCGAAACCCAGGCGGACGACAGGGGCCUGACCAUAGCGUUGAUGACGCGGUCCCUAAUCGCCUUGGCCUGGAGACAAGGUUAGCAACCGAUUAAUGCGUCCUUAGGAGCACAACAUUUUUCCGCCUUGCCAGCAAUCCCAACGAACUCGCCAGAGUCGGCUAGGGAAAGACGACCACUGUGGCACCCCACCUUCUCCGGGAUAGCGGGGAGCUCACCCCCG